RNAcentral lists this microRNA precursor (103 nucleotides) under Marmota monax (woodchuck). Lineage: Eukaryota; Metazoa; Chordata; Mammalia; Rodentia; Sciuridae. The record is from RNAcentral.
UGUAGAAAAACUGGGUCAAAUGGUCAUUUCAUUCCAAGUUUUCUGAGGAAUCUCUAUACUGCUUUUUAGAGUGGUUGCACCAAUUUGCAGUCCCAACAGCAAU